This 512-nucleotide ribosomal RNA is filed under the name uncultured eukaryote. Its description in RNAcentral is "SSU rRNA". It matches the Rfam family "Eukaryotic small subunit ribosomal RNA", at positions 333 to 872 of the family's 1831-position model. The record is from RNAcentral.
GUAUUGGACUACCAUGGCAGUCACGGGUAACGGAGAAUUAGGGUUCGAUUCCGGAGAGGGAGCCUGAGAAACGGCUACCACAUCUACGGAAGGCAGCAGGCGCGCAAAUUGCCCAAUCCUGACACGGGGAGGCAGUGACAAGAAAUAACAACUCUAGGAUUUCUUAGAAGUGUAAUGAGGAUAAUUUACAAACCUUACCGAAUGCAAUUGGAGGGCAAGUCUGGUGCCAGCAGCCGCGGUAAUUCCAGCUCCAAUAGCGUAUAUUAAAGUUGUUGCAGUUAAAAAGCUCGUAGUUGAAGUUCUGAUUGCUCAGGUUUCCAGCCUUAGGCGGAGAUACUGACAGUCAUCCGCUUGCAAAACAUAUGUUCGAUCUUCACCGGUUGGCUAUGUGAGUAAGCACUUUACCUUGAGAAAAACAGAGUGUUCCAGGCAGGUUUGUCCGGGAUGCAUUAGCAUGGAAUAAUAGAACAUGACUGAAGUCGAUUUAUGGUUUAAGCUUUAGUAAUGAUUAA